This 416-nucleotide long non-coding RNA is filed under the name Musa acuminata (dwarf banana). RNAcentral describes it as "long non-coding RNA (MACU_LNC006750)". Lineage: Eukaryota; Viridiplantae; Streptophyta; Magnoliopsida; Zingiberales; Musaceae. The record is from RNAcentral.
AAAUGAUGCGACCCACCCUUGCCAGUUUUAGCCAGUGGCAGGCCGGCACAUGGCUCGCUCUCGGCGUCUGGCUUCCGAGGCUUCAUCCCAACCGCUCAUUCGAUUUAGUAAAUGAAUUUAUUUAGAAGCGACUGUUUCAUCUCCUUUUUCUUCUCAUAAAAAUUUCGAUUUAAAUGCAUUAACCCAAUUCGAAUCAGCCGACGAUCACAUUCCUACCAUCCGACUAAAUCAAGAAACGAAAUAUUUAUACUUGGAGCGCCGUUCAGGUGAUCGAUCGCUUCCUCGCUUACCUUCAGAUGAACGACGCGCACCGGCUUCCGGGCCCUACGGCCGCCCCCGUGGGAGAAGAGAGCGGCGGCGCUCCCGAUGAGGCGGACCCCGCCGCCGUCGGGCACCAGCGGCGGGUCCCCGCGGCG